Molecule: long non-coding RNA, 6635 nt
Organism: Pan troglodytes (chimpanzee)
Lineage: Eukaryota; Metazoa; Chordata; Mammalia; Primates; Hominidae
Exons: 3
Source: RefSeq, a predicted model, not a curated record
UAUGACAGCUUGUGUCAGAUGAAGCCACAUCAACUCAUUCUGAGCACCCCGUUCCUCAAAACAUAAGGAUGAGCAUGAUCAAAAUCUCAAGACAUUUUUCCUAAGUCCUUAAGAUGGAUGAACUUCUACAGGUAAGUAGGUAGAUUAAUAAACAGAGGUAAGGAAUGUUGGCAUGAAGAAGCUCCCUAGGCCGCUGUGUGGCUGAAGCUCUGACUGGUCAUGCUGGUUAAGGAUGCGUCUAAGCAAGAUCGGUCGCUGACAGGUAGGUGUGUAGAAAAUAACCUAUAUGUGGUGGUCCAUUUUCAAUUCUAAGUGCCUUCAUAUAGGUUUAAGCAGGCUAUGUGGAAAUAGAGAAAUAAAGAAGCAGAAAUGUACUGAGUCCCCACCCUGCCCUCCUUCCUGCUUUCCCUUUCACGCAGCGGCCACGUGCCUAUCAGUAGGAGCCCCCUCAACUACCCUCUCCUCACCCCACCAAAGAAUUUAGUUUAGGCUAGCUUGCAACAUAAAUAAUUAUACCCUUUCUUAUCAGCUACGUGCAGCCACCAGGGCCAUAGUCAAAUGUUUGAAGACUCCUGAGACAGUUGCAAUGCAUGGUGGGCUGCAAUAAAAUGCAGCAGAAAGAUCCUAAAGAACAUACUUGAAAUCUUAAUCCAACGACCAAUAGGUGAUGUCCAGGAAGACUGUAACCCCAUUUACUCAGUCAAUGAGGAACUGGGGGAGGGACCUGCGCACUAGGGGAUAAAUUGCUUGUUGAAACUCUGCUGGGGGUGGCUGCAUGCCAGCCAGACACCCAAUCUUGCAAGACUGUCAUUGAAAAUCUCCGUUUUGCUGUUCUCCGGGUCUCUGCGUCCAGUCUUUGGGUUUGGACGGACCUGCCUGGCCAUCUUUCUGCAAGAAGAUAAAGGAAGACCAGGAGUGCCUGCCGAACUCCUAUGGAGGAAGUCUAGGAGAGGAAGGGGACAGGGAGGAAGAUGGUGUCUGCAAACCAGGAAGCAGCCUUGCCAGACACAGGAUUGGCCACAACCUUGACCCCAGACUUCCAGCCUCCAGAACUGUGAGAAAUAAAUGUCCAUAUUGACUAGGGGCACAGGGCAUGGGGGAACUGGUUCCAGACCUGCCUCCUGGGAAGUUGGGAGGGGGCAUUUCAACCUGUUAAUUUCUCAAAUUAUGUAGUCAUUCAAAAAGAAAUAGAAACACUUCAUUAACUUUGUGAUUGCCAAAUUAUUGAUCAAUUCUCAUAGAAAGUUAUAACAUUUCCCCUUUUGGUACAUUUCUGUUAAAAAGAAGGUUGUCUUUCCAGCCUUAUGUUUUGUAGUUUAAUUUGCUCACAUUCAUUAUAAUCCAUUAUUUAAUACAUUUUUCUUCCAUUUGAUCAUAUUACUUGCUGAUAGGAAGGACUGAGUUCAUUUUCAGCGUGUCUGGCUUUUCCAUUUCUGUGGCCUGGGAAGGUGGGUGGCUACAUCAUCAUCCAUGGUCUCUGAAAUAUCCUGUGUUACCAAGGCCUGCUUGUUCCACCAAACUGCUCCAUAGGCAGUUGUGACACCCAGAAAGAUGCUGAUAUGGUUUGGCUGUGUCCCCACCCAAAUCUCAUCUUGAAUUGUAGUUCCCAUAAUCCCCAGGUGUCUGGGAGGGACCCAGUGGGAGGUAAUUGAGACAUGGGGGUGGGUUUUCCCAUGCUGUUCUUGUGAUAGUGAAUAAGUCCCAAGAGAUUCUGAUGGUUUUAUAAACAGGAAUUUCCCUGCACAGGCUCUCUUGCCUGCCACCAUGUAAGACCUGCCUCUGCUCCUCCUUCACCUUCCGCCAUGAUUGUGAGGCCACCCCAGCCAUGUGGAACUGUGAGUCUAUUAAACCUCUUUUUCUUUAUACAUUACUCAGUCUCAGGUAUUUCUUCACAGCAUUAUGAAAAUGGACUAAUACAGAUGCAGCUAGCAUGAGGGAACUGUCCUUGCCAACUUGGAGUUGUUCUCAGAAACUGCAGUAACUCAAUAUUGGGAACAGAAAUGCACUACCCUAAGGUCAGGGAUUUUAGGAUACAGUCCCGAAGCUUCUGUUGCCUUCAAUGCCUUCACUGACGUGGGAUUUAGGGAUUCAGAGUCCUGAAGCUUCUGUUGCCCGGGUAAGCCCUCAGUGCCUUCACUGACAUGCACAGAGCUGCUCUUUCUGUGAAUGGAUGCUAUCCCAACCAGGAGGCCUGGAAACUGCAGCUUUGCGAUUUUGAAUUUACGGAAGGAGUCCUUGGUGACCCUCACAAUCUGGAGGCCGAGAGUCCAAGGUCAAGCAGCUGGUUCCUCUGGAGGCUCCAUGGAAGAAGCCCUUCCAUGCUGGUUUUCUUCCUCUGGUGUUCCUGGCAACCCUUGGUGUUCCUUGCCAGGUGAAUGAAUCACCCACCUUUGCCUCCGUCUGUCCAUGGUGUUAUCCCUGUGUCUCUGCCCAAAUCUCUCUCUCCUUAUGAGGACACCGAAUGGAUGAGCUCAUUUCAACUUGAUCACAUGUGCAAAGACCCUAUUUCCAAAUGAGGUCACAUUUUCAGGUGUGAGGGUUAGAACUUCAACUAUCUUUUUGGGGGACACAGCACCAUCCACAGCCGUGAGGACAUUGGACAAAGCCCAACUUGGACCUGACUCGGGUCGGGGGGGGAGGGGCACAGGGAGAUUUGCCUUUUUCCUGUUUUGCCAUUUUCCACGUAACUCGUAUUUGCUACUUUAGAGGAACCAUUUAUGGAAAACUACAGGAUAAAGGAAAAACAAAUGGUGGAGGAAAGGAAAUCUGUCAGCAAUCAGAGAGAUUGUUAAUUUCCUUGAUGAGGAGCCAAUUGGUUGAAGGGUGCCUGUAAUUUACAACUUCAGUCUUGGGGAAAAUGUGCACAGUUAUUUUUUGGUCUCCAUGAAGGAAACGUUUAGACGGGCACUCAUGGGGCUGAUUACCGAUUCAGAGGAACAUGCAGGGGGCAUCCACCCUCCAGGCGUGGGAAGAGAGAAGCACAUGCUUCCGGGAGGCCGAGGCUGAGCCGGGCUUAGGAGUGUCCUCUCCAGGUACUAAGUUAAUUUUAUGGGAGCUGAAGCCUCACUGCUUCUCGGAGCCUGGGGAGUUGGGAGCACUGGCCCCGGGCUCUGUGUGGCCUGGAACUGCCACUGCAGCUUGGAAUUCUCGGGCUCAGCUAUGGCAGCCUGUGCCCUUCUCCAGGCAUGGUUUGGGCCGUGUCCCUGGAACAGCAGCUGAGGUCCUAGUGCCAGCCCCAUCACAGACGGCAGGGGACCUGAGACAGACAUGGCCCCCUCUGCCCAGGCCCCCUUGCUGGAAAGGCAGAGGCACAUCUGACCUCUGGGGACCUCACUCUCACCUCGGAGGAUGUUUUAGGCCAUGCUGUGUGUUGCCAUCUUUGGGAAAAACUAGUUUAAUGAAGGAGUCAUGAAUUUGGCGAGGGGCCGCCUCUGCUGAUGGUGUUUCCUGAGUCCCUGCCCUUCACUGGGGCACGAGGGCUGAUCCCCCUCCUGCCGUCAUUUAUGGACUGAAUAACCACAGAGAGUGUGAGGCCGGCGGAAACUUGGCAGUGCCUGUUUGUCAUUGUCAGUUUCAAAUACUUUUUAAUUUUGAAUAGUUGUAGAUUUUCAGAAGGGUUAUGAAGAUCGUGCAGGCAGUUUCUGCAAGCUGCUGCUAAUUUCCCUCGGCUUCCACGUCUUUGCUGCCAUGGUCCACCUGCAGCAGCCAAGAGAGCCGCGUUGCAUCGCCACGAGCUAAACUCCAGCCUUCGGAUUUCAGAGCUUCCAUCCGUGUCCUCUCUCUGCUGUGACCCCACCUGGGGUGCCACGUCGUGUCUGAUCCUCCUGUGUCCUUGGCUUCUCUGGUCUGUGACAUUUCCGUCUCUCCUUUGCCACGACCCUGGCAGUGUGGAGGAGCCUGUUGGGCACCCUGUGGAUGCCCCUCAGUCUGGGUUCAUCUGUCCUUUUCCUCAUGGUUAGCCUGAGGUGGUGGGCUUCCGCAAAUAAUACCAAGGAGGUGAAAUGUUCUUCUCCUCACGGCCUCUCAGGGGCAUAGAACAUCCUCUUGACUUCACAGGUGGCGUUAACCCAAUCGCUUGUGUGAAAAUAACGCAUUGGGAGGCACUAGGCUGAGGGCUUCAGUACCUCAGAAGCAAACCCGGUUCCUGCACACAGAAACCCCAUUCAGGGUAAGGGGUCCUGUCCUAGGAAAGAAAAUUCAAGUUUAAACAGAAACUGCCAGCUAACCUCAAAACAGAGGCUUUACGACUGCUGUUUCACUUUAAUCAAUCCUUUUUUUGUUCUUCCUUCCAAGAACACUUGAGAAAGGUUUUUUCCCUCGUGCUCCUUGGUAGAGCCCAAACUGCUGUAGUUCGGUGCUGCCCAGCUCAUGGAUUCCUGUCUCCUCAAAUAACUCUUUACACUUUCACGUGCCUACGUUUAUCUUUCAACACUUGGAUCAGGUGGCGUCCACCAGGUGUCUUCGCUGUAAAGUCACUGUCUUCCCUUCCACCGCUCCACUCUUUGGGAUGAGUCACGAAGCCUGUGCUACCUUCAGGGGAGGGCUGGGGAAGAGUUAAACUCCAUCUCCUGGAGGGGCUGCUACAUAUGAUCAUAUGAUGUUAUUUGGAGUAAGAAAGAUUUGCCUCUUCUCCACAUUUACUUGUUUAUUCAAUUAUUUAUACCAGUAUGGGCUCAUGAAUAUUUACUUUAUAUUUUUUAUUAUAAUUCAAUCAUCCAAUAUAUUAUUUCUUUUGUUGUUCAAAUUUUUCCAUCUUUGGCCAUUGGCAGCCCUUUCACGUUGGCAUCUGUGUCCGUUGGACAAUCCCCCAUCCUUUUGUUUUUUUGAAAAUUUCCUUACUUUUUGAUAUCAUGAGAUACUCCAGGCUCAUCUUGUCUUCUCUCUGAUCCACCCUAGAAUCAGCCGUGGUUCCCCUCAUUGGAGAAUGAUAUUUAGAAACAAAAACCUGGGUGCUGGGUGUGCUCAGUGGGACGAGGGUGUCACUGCCUCCAGCCCUGUCAGUGAAGAGAGCUGCGUAAUGUGCAUGCAGAUAAUACCCUAUGUGUGAACACAUACUUCAGAUUAUCUCUGGAUCUGUCCAUCCUUAUAUCGAUGCAAAGCUAAACAUGAGUUCACACUGAUGUCUCUGAUUCUGAUCUAGUACCACAGGGUUCAGUCUAAACUUCCUCUUAUUUACAAAUAACCUUCCCCUCCGACACAAGAAGCCUGCCUCCCAUGGUUUGCCAUCCGUUGACUUAUCUGUUCAAUCCCAGUGUAUGUGAAUUGUUAACUUGUACCCCUGUGGGAAAUUUACCAACAAAGGAAUGAUAUUAAUGUCCUUUUGUCUUUAGCUUUACAAUUUCCACUCAAAACAUCAUAUUCUGAAGUUACUCAGGUCAGCUUCCUGUUUCUUUAAGUUCGCCCUCAUUACUGUCCGCGCUUUGUGAUGUGCAGUCAUGUGUUACCACCCCAGUGCCAGAAAGAAGAGCUCCUCGUGUGUCCGCCGAUGACCAAGCACUCCUCUCCCCAGCCCCUGGCAACUGCUAGUCCAAGCAUGUGCAACCCACAGCCCGUGGGCUGCAUGCGGCCCAGGAUGGCUUUGAAUGUGGCCCAACACAAAUUCGUAAACUUUCUUAACACCUUAUGAGAUUUUAUGCAUGGACUUUUUUUGCUCAAGAGCUAUUGUUAGUGUUAGUAUAUUUUAUGUGUGGCCCAAGGCACAAUUCUUCUUCCAGUGUGGCCCAGGGAAGCCAAAAGAUUGGACACCCCGGCCCUAGUCUGUUCAUUCCUAUAGUUUUAAUUUUUCCAAAGUAUCAUAUGAAUGGAAUCAUGUGAUAUGUAGCCCAUGAAUCAUGUAUAUGGGUUUUUCACUUAGUAGAGCACAUUUAAGAUUCAUCAUUGUUGCUAUGUGAAUCAAUAGCUGGUUCCUUUUAUCUCUCCACAGCUCCCACUGCACUGAGAAGCACGUGUUCUCCAUUUCCCUGGGGGAGACCAUUGUAUUGGGCAGUUUGGAACAAAACACCAUGGACUGGGAGGCUUACACAACAGAAAUUUAUUUCUUGCUGUUCUAGAGGCUGGGAAGCUCAAGGUGCUGGCUGCAUAUUCAUUCUGAGGCCUCUUCUGAUGUGCAGACAGCUGCCUUCUGACUUGUGCUCACAUUGGAGAGAGGGAGUCAGCUUUGGUGUCUCUUCUUGUAAGGACACUAACCCCAUUCACAAGGGCCCCACCCUCAUGACCUAAUCACCCCCAAAGGUCCUGUCUCCAGACAUAUCACAUGGGGCAGAGCUUCAACGUACCAAUUCUGGGGCGUCACAAACCCUCCGUCCAUAGCAGACAUCUUGGUUGCUCCCAGUUUUUAGAGAUUAAGAAUAAAACAACUGUAAAUAUUUACAUGCAGGUUUUUGUGUGAACAAGUUUUCAUGCCAGCUGGGUAAAUAGCUAGGGCUGUGAUGGCCAGAUCCUGUGGUAAGAUUCUGUUCCACAUUCUAAGAAACUGCCCAACUGUCUUCCACAGUGGCUGUGCCAUUUUGCAGUUCUGACAGCAAUUCUGUAGCUCCACAACCUCAUCAGCACUGGGUGGUGGUGCUUGAAUUUUGCAUUUUAGCCAUUCUAAUUGGUGUGGGUAGUAGUUCUCAUUUGGGGUUCAAUUUGCUUUU